GUUCCCAAGCCUUUGAAAUUUUCAAUGGAAUUGUUCGGGGUGAGUUAAACCACUCCAAUGCUUCUCCUUCAAGCGAUAGAGAGAACGCACGGCACCAGAUGGCGUCGCAUUCAGUGCAGAAAGCCAUAGCAUUGGUGAAUGAUUUGACGUGCACCUCCAGAUCAGUGGAGUCGUCAUACAUCUUGAACUGGGGUGGGAUGAAUUGCUCCGAUAUGUGAAUGUCCCUUAUCGCUUGGACGAAAGGAACGGUUACUGACGAUCCCUCGCUCUUUAUUAGCACUGUAUUCUCCCCUUUGUCAUCUUUGGCCUCCUUCUCUUUCCUCGUUUUUCCCUGACCCUAGGCGCUACUAUGUUCCUCCUUCUCGCCAUCUUCCAUCAGAACUUUUUUAUUUUAUCCCCCACCAAUGCCUUCGCCGGUUUCCAGGGCCUUCCCCUUAGCCACUUGAGCCAAACACUCUACCCUCAUGGUCGUCAUUUCUCCCUCGUGCCGCCGUUGCAUCUCUUCCAACUUCUGUUAUGAUGCCCGUAUCAUCUCGGCCUCCUCCUCUGCGCUCAUGUUUCUUGUGGCCACCAUUGGUAAUAAUCCGCCGGCCCCAUAGUGGGCGCUAAAUGUUUCGGUUGUGAAGUCGAACCCCACUAACACCUACACAAUUCGUCUUCUGGAUGUCCGGUCACGCCUCCUGUCUUCCCGUACGCUUCUGCUUAUUCGGUUCUAAACUUCCCCUUCGCUACACGCUCCGGUCGGGUACCUGCCAAUGGUCCUCCGACACUCAUGUCAGUUCGCAGGUCACUCUAGAGAUAGAGAGAGAAAGAGAGUGCAGAAAUAAAUGCGCAGUAAAAGUAACCAACUACCUCCUACCUUUGACCUCUAUUUAUAGUUUUUUGCCAUGGGCCUGUGAUUAACAAAACCUUAAUCACGGUCCAAUUGUUGGCCCAAUACCCUUAAUCGUGUUUUACCUUAAUUCUGUCUUCACGCUGCC
RNAcentral lists this long non-coding RNA (980 nucleotides) under Vigna radiata. Its description in RNAcentral is "long non-coding RNA (VRAD_LNC012060)". The record is from RNAcentral. Lineage: Eukaryota; Viridiplantae; Streptophyta; Magnoliopsida; Fabales; Fabaceae.